AUUCUAUAUAUAUAUAUAUAUAUAUAUAUAUAUAUAUAUAUAUCGAUAUAAAUGUUUGAUUUUAUAUUUAAAUUUGUAUUUGAAAACUUUAGAUUUAAUGCAAUAUAUUUUAAAAUAUGGUGAAGAAAAAUAAUUAUUUCGAAUUUGGAUUUGUGGGUUCGAGUUCAGAUUUCGGAGUUUUGGUUAUGUUCGAGUUCGGAUUCGAAUUUCGAAUUUGAUAGUCGGAUUUAGAUUCUUAAAAAUCCAUCCUGAAUC
Molecule: long non-coding RNA, 255 nt
Filed under: Ananas comosus (pineapple)
Lineage: Eukaryota; Viridiplantae; Streptophyta; Magnoliopsida; Poales; Bromeliaceae
Description: long non-coding RNA (ACOM_LNC019449)
Source: RNAcentral